This 651-nucleotide ribosomal RNA is filed under the name Lactococcus lactis subsp. lactis. RNAcentral describes it as "bacterial SSU rRNA". It matches the Rfam family "Bacterial small subunit ribosomal RNA", at positions 62 to 698 of the family's 1533-position model. Lineage: Bacteria; Bacillati; Bacillota; Bacilli; Lactobacillales; Streptococcaceae. The record is from RNAcentral.
UUGANCGCUGAGGUUGGUACUUGUACCGACUGGNUGAGCAGCGAACGGGUGAGUAACGCGUGGGGAAUCUGCCUUUGAGCGGGGGACAACAUUUGGAAACGAAUGCUAAUACCGCAUAACAACUUUAAACACAAGUUUUAAGUUUGAAAGAUGCAAUUGCAUCACUCAAAGAUGAUCCCGCGUUGUAUUAGCUAGUUGGUGAGGUAAAGGCUCACCAAGGCGAUGAUACAUAGCCGACCUGAGAGGGUGAUCGGCCACAUUGGGACUGAGACACGGCCCAAACUCCUACGGGAGGCAGCAGUAGGGAAUCUUCGGCAAUGGACGAAAGUCUGACCGAGCAACGCCGCGUGAGUGAAGAAGGUUUUCGGAUCGUAAAACUCUGUUGGUAGAGAAGAACGUUGGUGAGAGUGGAAAGCUCAUCAAGUGACGGUAACUACCCAGAAAGGGACGGCUAACUACGUGCCAGCAGCCGCGGUAAUACGUAGGUCCCGAGCGUUGUCCGGAUUUAUUGGGCGUAAAGCGAGCGCAGGUGGUUUAUUAAGUCUGGUGUAAAAGGCAGUGGCUCAACCAUUGUAUGCAUUGGAAACUGGUAAACUUGANUGCAGGANANGAGAGUGNAAUUCCAUGUGUAGCGGUGAANGCCNUAAAUNA